This 1434-nucleotide ribosomal RNA is filed under the name uncultured organism. Its description in RNAcentral is "16S ribosomal RNA". It matches the Rfam family "Bacterial small subunit ribosomal RNA". The record is from RNAcentral.
CGCUGGCGGCGUGCUUAACACAUGCAAGUCGAACGGAAAGGCCCUGCUUUUGUGGGGUGCUCGAGUGGCGAACGGGUGAGUAACACGUGAGUAACCUGCCCUUGACUUUGGGAUAACUUCAGGAAACUGGGGCUAAUACCGGAUAGGAGCUCCUGCUGCAUGGUGGGGGUUGGAAAGUUUCGGCGGUUGGGGAUGGACUCGCGGCUUAUCAGCUUGUUGGUGGGGUAGUGGCUUACCAAGGCUUUGACGGGUAGCCGGCCUGAGAGGGCGACCGGCCACAUUGGGACUGAGAUACGGCCCAGACUCCUACGGGAGGCAGCAGUGGGGAAUAUUGCACAAUGGGCGGAAGCCUGAUGCAGCAACGCCGCGUGCGGGAUGACGGCCUUCGGGUUGUAAACCGCUUUCGCCUGUGACGAAGCGUGAGUGACGGUAAUGGGUAAAGAAGCACCGGCUAACUACGUGCCAGCAGCCGCGGUGAUACGUAGGGUGCGAGCGUUGUCCGGAUUUAUUGGGCGUAAAGGGCUCGUAGGUGGUUGAUCGCGUCGGAAGUGUAAUCUUGGGGCUUAACCCUGAGCGUGCUUUCGAUACGGGUUGACUUGAGGAAGGUAGGGGAGAAUGGAAUUCCUGGUGGAGCGGUGGAAUGCGCAGAUAUCAGGAGGAACACCAGUGGCGAAGGCGGUUCUCUGGGCCUUUCCUGACGCUGAGGAGCGAAAGCGUGGGGAGCGAACAGGCUUAGAUACCCUGGUAGUCCACGCUGUAAACGGUGGGUACUAGGUGUGGGGUCCAUUCCACGGGUUCCGUGCCGUAGCUAACGCUUUAAGUACCCCGCCUGGGGAGUACGGCCGCAAGGCUAAAACUCAAAGGAAUUGACGGGGCCCCGCACAAGCGGCGGAGCAUGCGGAUUAAUUCGAUGCAACGCGUAGAACCUUACCUGGGUUUGACAUGGAUCGGGAGUGCUCAGAGAUGGGUGUGCCUCUUUUGGGGUCGGUUCACAGGUGGUGCAUGGCUGUCGUCAGCUCGUGUCGUGAGAUGUUGGGUUAAGUCCCGCAACGAGCGCAACCCUUGUUCACUGUUGCCAGCACGUUAUGGUGGGGACUCAGUGGAGACCGCCGGGGUCAACUCGGAGGAAGGUGGGGAUGACGUCAAGUCAUCAUGCCCCUUAUGUCCAGGGCUUCACGCAUGCUACAAUGGCUGGUACAGAGAGUGGCGAGCCUGUGAGGGUGAGCGAAUCUCGGAAAGCCGGUCUCAGUUCGGAUUGGGGUCUGCAACUCGACCUCAUGAAGUCGGAGUCGCUAGUAAUCGCAGAUCAGCAACGCUGCGGUGAAUACGUUCCCGGGGCUUGUACACACCGCCCGUCAAGUCAUGAAAGUUGGUAACACCCGAAGCCGGUGGCCUAACCGUUGUGGGGGAGCCGUCGAAGGUGGGACUGGUGAU